AACGAACGCUGGCGGCAUGCCUAACACAUGCAAGUCGAACGAAGCCUUCGGGCUUAGUGGCGCACGGGUGCGUAACGCGUGGGAAUCUGCCCUUGGGUUCGGAAUAACAGUUAGAAAUGACUGCUAAUACCGGAUGAUGUCUUCGGACCAAAGAUUUAUCGCCCAAGGAUGAGCCCGCGUAGGAUUAGGUAGUUGGUGGGGUAAUGGCCCACCAAGCCGACGAUCCUUAGCUGGUCUGAGAGGAUGAUCAGCCACACUGGGACUGAGACACGGCCCAGACUCCUACGGGAGGCAGCAGUGGGGGAGAUUGGACAAUGGGCGAAAGCCUGAUCCAGCAAUGCCGCGUGAGUGAUGAAGGCCUUAGGGUUGUAAAGCUCUUUUACCAGGGAUGAUAAUGACAGUACCUGGAGAACAAGCUCCGGCUAACUCCGUGCCAGCCGCCGCGGUAA
This 449-nucleotide ribosomal RNA is filed under the name uncultured bacterium. RNAcentral's name for it is "partial 16S ribosomal RNA". It matches the Rfam family "Bacterial small subunit ribosomal RNA", at positions 29 to 523 of the family's 1533-position model. The record is from RNAcentral.